UUCCGGUUGAUCCUGCCGGAGGUCAUUGCUAUCGGAAUCCGAUUUAGCCAUGCGAGUCGCACGAGUUCACACUCGUGGCAAACGGCUCAGUAACACGUGGCCAAACUGCCCUAUGGAUGCGGAUACUCUCGGGAAACUGAGGCUAAUCCGCGAUACUGCUCCCACGCUGGAAUGCCGGGAGCACGAAACGCUCCGGCGCCACAGGAUGUUGCUGCGGCCGAUUAGGUAGACGGUGGGGUAACGGCCCACCGUGCCGAUAAUCGGUACGGGUAGUGAGAGCUAGAGCCCGGAGACGGACUCUGAGACAAGAGUCCGGGCCCUACGGGGCGCAGCAGGCGCGAAACCUUUACACUGCACGACAGUGCGAUAGGGGGAUUCCGAGUGCGAGGGCAUACAGUCCUCGCUUUUCUGUACCUUAAGGUGGUACAGGAAUAAGAGCUGGGCAAGACCGGUGCCAGCCGCCGCGGUAAUACCGGCAGCUCAAGUGAUGACCGAUUUUAUUGGGCCUAAAGCGUCCGUAGCCGGCCAGGUAGGUCCGUCGGGAAAUCCACUCGCCUAACGAGUGGGCGUCCGGCGGAUACCGCUUGGCUUGGGAUCGGGAGACCAAAGGGGUACGUCUGGGGUAGGAGUGAAAUCCUGUAAUCCUGGACGGACCAUCGGUGGCGAAAGCGCCUUUGGAGAACGAAUCCGACGGUGAGGGACGAAAGCUAGGGUCUCGAACCGGAUUAGAUACCCGGGUAGUCCUAGCCGUAAACGAUGCUCACUAGGUGUGGCGCAGGCUACGAGCCUGCGCUGUGCCGUAGGGAAGCCGUGAAGUGAGCCGCCUGGGAAGUACGUCCGCAAGGAUGAAACUUAAAGGAAUUGGCGGGGGAGCACUACAACCGGAGGAGCCUGCGGUUUAAUUGGACUCAACGCCGGU
This 919-nucleotide ribosomal RNA is filed under the name uncultured archaeon. Its description in RNAcentral is "bacterial SSU rRNA". It matches the Rfam family "Archaeal small subunit ribosomal RNA", at positions 1 to 922 of the family's 1478-position model. The record is from RNAcentral.